AAGAGUUCCCAUUUAAAUCCAACCAGUUAUUUUCACUAGAAAGCCUAAGCAAGAAACUAUUUUAGAAAACUCUAUAGAGUGACAUUUUCAUGUUAAAUUGGCAAAAAUGUUCGUGCAUUUCAUUGUAAGAGCAGGAUAUAUAAAUGAGGUGUUUUUCUUUGAUUAUAUGUACUGCAUAAGCAUUAAAUCAAAAACAAGUUAAAAACAAGAGUUUCCAUUUAAUCCAACAAGUAGUUUCACCAGAAAGCCUAAGCAAGAAAAUAUUUUAGCAAACUCUAGAGAUCAACAUUUUCUUGUUAAAUUGGCAAAGAUGUCCGUGCACUUUCAUUGUAAGAGCAGGAUAUAUAAAUGAGGUGUUUUUCUUU
This 365-nucleotide unclassified non-coding RNA is filed under the name Hevea brasiliensis (rubber tree). The record is from RNAcentral. Lineage: Eukaryota; Viridiplantae; Streptophyta; Magnoliopsida; Malpighiales; Euphorbiaceae.